AGCGUUUCAUACGUUCCUUA
RNAcentral lists this microRNA (20 nucleotides) under Ciona intestinalis (vase tunicate). Its description in RNAcentral is "cin-miR-4067-3p". Lineage: Eukaryota; Metazoa; Chordata; Ascidiacea; Phlebobranchia; Cionidae. The record is from miRBase by way of RNAcentral.